UACAUAUAAGCAUGAGCUGCCUAAAAAUUAAACUAGGAAGCUGAGUCAAGAUAUAAGCAAGAGCUUGAACUUAGUCUGUAAAUUGAAAGCAAGAGCUGGUAAAGCUUUAGCAUACUAGCUUAAUGAAUCAUCUCAACUAUCAAACGUGAAGGCCAAGAAUUUUUCUUGAUGAGCAAGGAGGGAGUUCUUAUAAAUGUAAAUUUCAUAGACUUUAUUCAAUUUCUUCUGAUCAUCUCAAAUUCUUAUAUCUCAUAACAAGCUCCAUCAAACCGUAUAAAGCUGUGCUAAGCAAAGCUAGUUUAGAAAGAGAAUUUGAAGAGUGUUGCUAUAGAAAAGGGAAUUGAAGCAAGCUUAACCAAUUAUUUAAGCAAGAACUCUGUAAUUAAGAGGUAAAAUUUUAUCUCUUGUUAUAUAUAUAAAAGCUAGGUAGGAGAAUUGAUAUAUAAUUAACUUCUGUGAUUGCUUGUGGUUGAUUUCUAUAUUAAAUCUGGCUAUCUAUGUUUAAACUCUUAUGAGUUUUUGAAUUCUAAACUAUAUCCACCACAUAUUUGACAGAAUGUUUCAAAAGAAUAAUUUUGUUAAAAAUUAGUCUAUGUAAUGAACAGGAUAGCUUAUAUAUAUAAGAAUUAUGUAAUUACUCAAUUCAAUAAGGGUAUUUGGUAUGCUUUCAAUAUGAUAGUAAAAGAUCAAACUUUGGAAAUUUGCAGAAAACAGAGCAAGUCUUGGUCUGCAGCCCAGGUCAAAACCAGCGCGGCCGCGCAGGCCCCAGAAAAGCCAAGGAUGUGUUUUACAUAAUUUGGGCUUCUGAGCAUGUGUAGUGUUUAAAAAUGUAUCCUAUGUGGUGUCCAGUAUGGCUAAGCAUGAAAAUGGAAUAUUUUAGCAUGCUUUAAUAUAAGAAUUCAAAUAAAAACUAAACGGUUUUGAAAAUUAAACUUGAAACAAAUAAAGUCAAAACCAAAACAGGUAUAAACCUUUCUAUCAUAUGUGAAUAUGGUGUGAUGGGAUCUUGGGAUAUUACCAUGAAGGCUAUGCAUUGAAACACUCAGUUCUGAGCCUUCUCUGGAGUGGCGCGGCCGCGCCACUCUCAAGCCUAAAUGCAGCGCGGGCGCGCCGUGCUGCAGAGUUGCGAAGAGGUUUUGUUUGAGAAUUGAGGCUUGGAACAAGUUUGUUUAGGACCUACAAACAAGAAUACAUAAGAUACAAGGUGUCUAGUCUAUCCAAACAUAACGAUUAUAUCAAGCGAAGGUGGAAUAAGAAGUUUCUAAAUGAAAUCAAAUACUCCCUCCGUCCCAUGAUAAAAGUCCUUAUUACUUUUUUGGGUAGUCCCAUGUUAAAUGUCCACUUUCUUUUAAUAACCAAAUUUUUACACAUUUUUUUCUAUAAUGCCCGUAGCAUUAAAUAUCUCAUACUUUUCUUAUUCUAAUUCUCUCUUCAUAUUUAAUAAGUAUGUAGAUAGAAUAUUUUGAAUUGAAUAGCUAAAAAGUCACUCUCUCACCUACAUUGAAAAUAAUUAAUGACAUAUUAUUAUGGGUAAUUUGUCAUUUCAUUCUUUUUCUUAAUAUGCGUGAAAAGUCCCUCAUGACUUUUAUUCUGGGACGGAGGGAGUAACAAAGUAAAAGCUAAUAAAGCUAUUGUGUUGGGUUAAUAUAAAUUAAGUUCCCAUUGAAUGUGUAUAACUGAUAAUGGGUAUGUAUACAUGAUUAUAUGAUUGUGUAGGAAUCGUGAAGCACAUGUGACUGUAGUUGUAAUCAACUCGCAAGGCAAGUCUUUUAGUUCAUAUGUGCUAUAUGAACUUGUCAUGAUUAUGAUUAUGUUGAGUUAUGGAAUUCAACUUAUGACUAAAACGGAUCGAGUUUUGGAAUUCCGUGAUAUGCUAAACAUAUAAAUCAUAUCGUUUGAAGUUAUAAUGCAUGUCUAAUAUAAGUAUGAACUUAGCAUGAAAGUAUGUGUUAUGUGAUGUAUGAAAACUGCUGGAUUUGCUGGGCUGUUGAGCUCAGUCUUGCAAAACUAAAAUUUUUGCAGGUAUGCUAUGUGACGCAAUUUCUUGUUGUUCGGAUGAUAAGGACUUGAAGCAUAUGCGCAGGAGAAUUAUUUAUUUUAGUUAAAGACUGUAUUACAUUUUAUUGACGGUUUGUGGUGUUUAUGUAACUGCAAAAUUGUAUAUAUUGAAUUAUUCGAUAUAUAAAGGAUGUUGUAUUUAGACUUGAAUUCUAAAACAAUAACUCUGAUAAAAUGAAUCAUAGAAUAUUCUAAAAUAUGUAACGGUAAAGGUUGCGAUUCAGAGAAUAAAGGAAGGCUAUAACAAAAGUUUUAAAUUAUUGGCAUCUUCGGCUAUUAUUUCAUCCUUAUAUGAUGUAAAGUUGGAUCGAGAUAGUAUCUAACGCACAAGAUCGAGAUUAAGUUAGUCCUGAUUUUUGAUUAAGUUGGUCCUGAUUUUGGGGUCAUUAGACUAACUCAACACCUUCCACUCAGCACCAAAUAGUUAAUCUGUAAUGUUGUUGUUAGACCUUUAGGGAAUACCUAGAGAUUUUUAUUACAAAGGUACAACUUGGUUUAAAAUUAAAGUAACCUAUUGAAUUACCUAAUCUGAGUGGAUCAAAGUUUUCCUAAAAGUUCAAGUCUGGGUAAUUAUGAAAGCAUUUUGUAUAUGUAUUUUGAGAUAAUCUCACAUUGCCUUUGUCUUCGGGCCAUUUAUUGCCUGUAGAGAAGUCCAAUUGAAUGGCUAUUAGAUACCUAAGAUAGUGAUCUAGAUGUAACUAUUUAUCUCUUUUUAUCUUGAAAGUUGUUUAUGUGAGACUAUUGAUGUUAAUACUCUGUUUUGCAAGUAG
Molecule: long non-coding RNA, 2828 nt
Filed under: Panax ginseng (ginseng)
Lineage: Eukaryota; Viridiplantae; Streptophyta; Magnoliopsida; Apiales; Araliaceae
Description: long non-coding RNA (PGIN_LNC016181)
Source: RNAcentral